This 75-nucleotide transfer RNA is filed under the name Methylobacter sp. Its description in RNAcentral is "tRNA-Asn". It matches the Rfam family "tRNA". Rfam says of the family: Transfer RNA (tRNA) molecules are approximately 80 nucleotides in length. The record is from RNAcentral. Lineage: Bacteria; Pseudomonadati; Pseudomonadota; Gammaproteobacteria; Methylococcales; Methylococcaceae.
GCUGCCAUAGCUCAGCCCGGUAGAGCAACCGAGAUUAUCGGUAGGUCGUUGGUUCGAAUCCAACUGGCAGCUUCA